UGGCGGACGGGUGAGUAAUGUCUGGGAAACUGCCCGAUGGAGGGGGAUAACUACUGGAAACGGUAGCUAAUACCGCAUAACGUCGCAAGACCAAAGAGGGGGACCUUAGGGCCUCUUGCCAUCGGAUGUGCCCAGAUGGGAUUAGCUAGUAGGUAGGGUAACGGCUCACCUAGGCGACGAUCCCUAGCUGGUCUGAGAGGAUGACCAGCCACACUGGAACUGAGACACGGUCCAG
This 235-nucleotide ribosomal RNA is filed under the name uncultured bacterium. Its description in RNAcentral is "partial 16S ribosomal RNA". It matches the Rfam family "Bacterial small subunit ribosomal RNA", at positions 96 to 334 of the family's 1533-position model. The record is from RNAcentral.